CUCAGUAACGGCGAGUGAAGCGGUAAUAGCUCAAAUUUGAAAUCUGGCCUCUUGGGGUCCGAGUUGUAAUUUGUAGAGGAUGUUUUGGGUACCGCCCCGGUCUAAAUUUCUUGGAACAGAAUGUCAAAGAGGGUGAGAAUCCCGUCUUGGAUCGGCGGUAGGGCCUGUGUAAAACUCCUUCGACGAGUCGAGUUGUUUGGGAAUGCAGCUCAAAAUGGGUGGUAAAUUUCAUCUAAAGCUAAAUAUUGGCCAGAGACCGAUAGCGCACAAGUAGAGUGAUCGAAAGAUGAAAAGCACUUUGAAAAGAGAGUUAAACAGUAUGUGAAAUUGUUGAAAGGGAAGCGCUUGCAACCAGACUUGAGCGCGGCGGUUCCCCCGGUCUUUUGGCCGGGCUACUCCGUCGUGUCCAGGCCAACAUCGGUUCUGAGGGUCGGUCAAAGGCCUUGGGAAUGUAUCUACCCACGGGUAGACUUAUAGACCAGGGUGUCAUGCGGCCUCUCGGGACCGAGGAACGCGCUUCGGCUCGGAUGUUGGCGUAAUGGUUGUCAGCGACCCGUCUUGAAACACGGACCAAGGAGUCUAACAUCUAUGCGAGUGUUUGGGUGUCAAACCCGGAACGCGAAAUGAAAGUGAACGGAGGUAGGAAGCUUCGGCUGCACUAUCGACCGAUCCUGAAGUUUACGGAUGGAUUUGAGUAAGAGCAUAGCUGUUGGGACCCGAAAGAUGGUGAACUAUGCCUGAAUAGGGUGAAGCCAGAGGAAACUCUGGUGGAGGCUCGCAGCGGUUCUGACGUGCAAAUCGAUCGUCAAAUUUGGGUAUAGGGGCGAAAGACUAAUCGAACCAUCUGGUAGCUGGUUCCUGCCGAAGUUUCCCUCAGGAUAGCAGUAACGUUUUCAGUUUUAUGAGGUAAAGCGAAUGAUUAGAGGCCUUGGGGGUUGAAACAACCUUAACCUAUUCUCAAACUUUAAAUAUGUAAGAAGUCCUUGUUACUUAAAUUGAACGUGGACAUUUGAAUGUACCGUUACUAGUGGGCCAUUUUUGGUAAGCAGAACUGGCGAUGCGGGAUGAACCGAACGUGAGGUUAAGGUGCCGGAAUGCACGCUCAUCAGACACCACAAAAGGUGUCAAUGCAUCUAGACAGCCGGACGGUGGCCAUGGAAGUCGGAAUCCGCUUAGGAGUGUGUAACAACUCACCGGCCGAAUGCAUUGGCCCUGAAAAUGGAUGGCGCUUAAGCGUGCUACCUAUACCUCGCCGUUAGGGUUGACAUGAUGCCCUAACGAGUAGGCAGGCGUGGAGGUCCGUGACGAA
RNAcentral lists this ribosomal RNA (1309 nucleotides) under Cladophialophora tengchongensis. RNAcentral's name for it is "partial large subunit ribosomal RNA". It matches the Rfam family "Eukaryotic large subunit ribosomal RNA", at positions 79 to 1407 of the family's 3401-position model. Lineage: Eukaryota; Fungi; Ascomycota; Eurotiomycetes; Chaetothyriales; Herpotrichiellaceae. The record is from RNAcentral.